UACGUAGGGUGCGAGCGUUAAUCGGAAUUACUGGGCGUAAAGCGUGCGCAGGCGGUUUUGUAAGUCCGAUGUGAAAUCCCCGGGCUUAACCUGGGAACUGCGUUUGAAACUACAAGGCUAGAGUGUAGCAGAGGGGGGUGGAAUUCCACGUGUAGCAGUGAAAUGCGUAGGGAUGUGGAGGAACACCGAUGGCGAAGGCAGCCCCCUGGGUUAACACUGACGCUCAGGCACGAAAGCGUGGGGAGCAAACAGG
RNAcentral lists this ribosomal RNA (253 nucleotides) under uncultured bacterium. RNAcentral describes it as "partial 16S ribosomal RNA". It matches the Rfam family "Bacterial small subunit ribosomal RNA", at positions 524 to 776 of the family's 1533-position model. The record is from RNAcentral.